GAUGAAGAACGUAGUGAAAUGCGAUAAGUAGUGUGAAUUGCAGAAUUCCGUGAAUCAUCGAAUCUUUGAACGCACAUUGCGCCCCCUGGCAUUCCUAGGGGCAUGCCUGUUCGAGCGUCAUUAACAACCAUCAAGCGGGACCUGUCUGCCUCGCUUGGCCAUGGGGGAUGGCCGCCCUCGGGGCGCCCACCCCCGAAAUACAACGGCGGACAGCCACCACGGGGCACCCGGGCGUAGUAAGUUGCUCUCUCGCCCGCGCCCACGGAAUGGACUGUCCGGCCGGUCGAACCCCCAACAUCCAAUGGUUGACCUCGGAUCAGGUAGGGAUACCCGCUGAACUUAAGCAUAUCAAUAAGCGGAGGA
RNAcentral lists this unclassified non-coding RNA (363 nucleotides) under soil metagenome. RNAcentral's name for it is "partial contains 5.8S ribosomal RNA, internal transcribed spacer 2, and large subunit ribosomal RNA". The stretch from base 1 to 120 matches the Rfam family "5.8S ribosomal RNA", at positions 35 to 154 of the family's 154-position model. The record is from RNAcentral.